Molecule: ribosomal RNA, 551 nt
Filed under: Pomadasys stridens (striped piggy)
Lineage: Eukaryota; Metazoa; Chordata; Actinopteri; Lutjaniformes; Haemulidae
Description: partial 16S ribosomal RNA
Rfam family: Bacterial large subunit ribosomal RNA
Source: RNAcentral
CCUGCCCUGUGACUAUAUGUUUAACGGCCGCGGUAUUUUGACCGUGCGAAGGUAGCGCAAUCACUUGUCUUUUAAAUAGGGACCUGUAUGAAUGGCAUAACGAGGGCUUAGCUGUCUCCUUUUUCAGGUCAAUGAAAUUGAUCUCCCCGUGCAGAAGCGGGGAUAAAUACAUAAGACGAGAAGACCCUGUGGAGCUUUAGACGCCGGGCAAAUCACGUUAAGCACCCUCACUUAAGAGGUCAAACUAAAUGACUCCUGCCCCUAUGUCUUCGGUUGGGGCGACCAUGGGGUAAAACAAACCCCCCACGCAGACAAGGAGGGACUUCCCUCCUGAAAUUAAGAGCUCCCGCUCUAAUAAGCAGAACUUCUGACCUAAAGAUCCGGUAAUAACCGAUCAACGGACCAAGUUACCCCAGGGAUAACAGCGCAAUCCUCUUUUAGAGCCCAUAUCGACAAGAGGGUUUACGACCUCGAUGUUGGAUCAGGACAUCCUAAUGGUGCAGCCGCUAUUAAGGGUUCGUUUGUUCAACGAUUAAAGUCCUACGUGAUCU